RNAcentral lists this ribosomal RNA (1639 nucleotides) under human gut metagenome. RNAcentral describes it as "bacterial LSU rRNA". It matches the Rfam family "Bacterial large subunit ribosomal RNA", at positions 1280 to 2925 of the family's 2925-position model. The record is from RNAcentral.
GCUUAGAAGUGAGAAUGCCGGUAUGAGUAGCGAAAGAUAGGUGAGAAUCCUAUCCGCCGAAAGACUAAGGUUUCCUGGGGCAGGCUCGUCCGCCCAGGGUAAGUCGGGACCUAAGGCAAGGCCGAGAGGCGUAGUCGAUGGAUAACAGGUAGAGAUUCCUGUACUGUGUUCAAUCGUUAUGAGCAAUGGAGGGACGCAGGAGGCGAAACACGCAUCGAGCUGGAUCGAUGUUCAAGCAGCGAGUGCGGUUAAGAGUCAAAUGCUUCUAACCAGCAACAUGAGCUGUGAUGAGUAGCGAAGUAAAAGUAGCGAAGGUGAUGUAGUCACACUGCCAAGAAAAGCUUCUAGCCAGAGAGAACAUACCCGUACCGCAAACCGACACAGGUAGUCGAGUGGAGAACACUAAGGUGAGCGAGAGAACUCUCGUUAAGGAACUCGGCAAAAUGACCCCGUAACUUCGGAAGAAGGGGUGCUGGCCAUGAGAGUGGUUAGCCGCAGUGAAUAGGCCCAAACAACUGUUUAUCAAAAACACAGGUCUCUGCAAAAUCGUAAGAUGACGUAUAGAGGCUGACACCUGCCCGGUGCUGGAAGGUUAAGAGGAGAGCUUAGCGCAAGCGAAGGUUUGAAUUGAAGCCCCAGUAAACGGCGGCCGUAACUAUAACGGUCCUAAGGUAGCGAAAUUCCUUGUCGGGUAAGUUCCGACCUGCACGAAAGGUGUAAUGAUUUGGGCACUGUCUCAACGAGAGACUCGGUGAAAUUAUAAUACCCGUGAAGAUGCGGGUUACCCGCGACAGGACGGAAAGACCCCAUGGAGCUUCACUGUAGCUUGAUAUUGAGUAUCUUUUAAACAUGUACAGGAUAGGUAGGAGCCAAGGAAUGCAGGACGCUAGUCUUGCAGGAGGCAAUGUUGGGAUACUACCCUUGUUUGAAGGAUGCUCUAACCUCGACCUGUAAUCCAGGCCAGGGACAGUGUCAGGUGGGCAGUUUGACUGGGGCGGUCGCCUCCUAAAGUGUAACGGAGGCGCCCAAAGGUUCCCUCAGAAUGGUUGGAAAUCAUUCGCAGAGUGUAAAGGUAUAAGGGAGCUUGACUGCGAGAGAGACAACUCGAGCAGGGACGAAAGUCGGGCUUAGUGAUCUGGUGGUACCGUAUGGAAGGGCCAUCACUCAACGGAUAAAAGCUACCCUGGGGAUAACAGGCUUAUCUCCCCCAAGAGUUCACAUCGACGGGGAGGUUUGGCACCUCGAUGUCGGCUCGUCGCAUCCUGGGGCUGAAGUCGGUCCCAAGGGUUGGGCUGUUCGCCCAUUAAAGCGGCACGCGAGCUGGGUUCAGAACGUCGUGAGACAGUUCGGUCCCUAUCCGUCGUGGGCGUAGGAAAUUUGAGAGGAGCUGUCCUUAGUACGAGAGGACCGGGAUGGACGCACCGCUGGUGUACCAGUUGUUCCGCCAGGAGCAUCGCUGGGUAGCUAUGUGCGGAAGGGAUAAGCGCUGAAAGCAUCUAAGUGCGAAGCCCCCCUCAAGAUGAGAUUUCCUUUGCGUAAGCAGUAAGACACCUCAGAGACGAUGAGGUAGAUAGGCUGGGAGUGGAAGUUCUGUGAAGAAUGGAGCGGACCAGUACUAAUCAGUCGAGGACUUGACCAA